CAAUAGCGUAUAUUAAAGUUGUUGCAGUUAGAACGCUCGUAGUCGGAUUUCGGGGCGGGGCGACCGGUCUGCCGAUGGGUACGCACUGGUCGGCGCGUCCUUCCUUCCGGAGACCGUGCCUACUCUUAACUGAGCGGGGGCGGGAGACGGAACGUUUACUUUGAAAAAAUCAGAGUGUUUCAAGCAGGCAGCUCGCUCUUGCAUGGAUUAGCAUGGGAUAAUGAAAUAGGACUUUGGUGCUAUUUUGUUGGUUUCGAACACCGAAGUAAUGAUGAGAAGGGACAGUCAGGGGCACUCGUAUUCCGCCGAGAGAGGUGAAAUUCUCAGACCAGCGGAAGACGAACCACUGCGAAAGCAUUUGCCAGGGAUGUUUNCACUGA
RNAcentral lists this ribosomal RNA (380 nucleotides) under uncultured eukaryote. Its description in RNAcentral is "partial 18S ribosomal RNA". It matches the Rfam family "Eukaryotic small subunit ribosomal RNA", at positions 592 to 976 of the family's 1831-position model. The record is from RNAcentral.